RNAcentral lists this ribosomal RNA (434 nucleotides) under uncultured microorganism. Its description in RNAcentral is "bacterial SSU rRNA". It matches the Rfam family "Bacterial small subunit ribosomal RNA", at positions 346 to 795 of the family's 1533-position model. The record is from RNAcentral.
GGGCUGCAGUCGAGAAUCUUCCUCAAUGGACGAAAGUCUGAAGGAGCGACGCCGCGUGUAUGAAGAAACCCCUCGGGGUGUAAAAUACUUUUAUCAGGGAAGAAACAAUGACGGUACCUGAUGAAUAAGGGGCUGCUAACCUCGUGCCAGCAGCAGCGGUAAUACGAGGGCCCCAAGCGUUAUCCGGAUUUAUUGGGCGUAAAGAGCACGUAGGCGGUUUAUCGCAUCUCCUGUUAAAUCUCGGAGCUCAACUUCGGGACCGCGGGAGAGAUGGAUAGACUAGAGAUCGGGAUAGGCAAGUGGAAUUGCUGGUGUAGGGGUUAAAUCCGUUAAUAUCAGCAGGAACACCAAAUGCGAAGGCAACUUGCUAGAACGAUUCUGACGCUGAGGUGCGAAAGCGUGGGGAGCGAAUGGGAUUAGAUACCCCAGUAGUC